Molecule: ribosomal RNA, 497 nt
Filed under: uncultured bacterium
Lineage: Bacteria
Description: partial 16S ribosomal RNA
Rfam family: Bacterial small subunit ribosomal RNA
Source: RNAcentral
GAUGAACGCUGGCGGCGUGCCUAAUACAUGCAAGUCGAGCGAACGGACGAGAAUCUUGCUUCUCUGAUGUUAGCGGCGGACGGGUGAGUAACACGUGGAUAACCUACCUAUAAGACUGGGAUAACUUCGGGAAACCGGAGCUAAUACCGGAUAAUAUUUUGAACCGCAUGGUUCAAAAGUGAAAGACGGUCUUGCUGUCACUUAUAGAUGGAUCCGCGCUGCAUUAGCUAGUUGGUAAGGUAACGGCUUACCAAGGCAACGAUGCAUAGCCGACCUGAGAGGGUGAUCGGCCACACUGGAACUGAGACACGGUCCAGACUCCUACGGGAGGCAGCAGUAGGGAAUCUUCCGCAAUGGGCGAAAGCCUGACGGGGCAACGCCGCGUGAGUGAUGAAGGUCUUCGGAUCGUAAAACUCUGUUAUUAGGGAAGAACAUAUGUGUAAGUAACUGUGCACAUCUUGACGGUACCUAAUCAGAAAGCCACGGCUAACUACGUG